This 492-nucleotide ribosomal RNA is filed under the name uncultured bacterium. RNAcentral's name for it is "partial 16S ribosomal RNA". It matches the Rfam family "Bacterial small subunit ribosomal RNA", at positions 29 to 507 of the family's 1533-position model. The record is from RNAcentral.
AGUGAACGCUGGCGGUAGGCCUAACACAUGCAAGUCGAACGGCAGCACAGUAAGAGCUUGCUCUUACGGGUGGCGAGUGGCGGACGGGUGCGGAAUACAUCGGAAUCUACUUUUUCGUGGGGGAUAACGUAGGGAAACUUACGCUAAUACCGCAUACGACCUACGGGUGAAAGCAGGGGCUCUUCGGACCUUGCGCGAUUGAAUGAGCCGAUGUCAGGUUAGCUAGGUUGCGGGGUAAGGGCCCACCAAGGCGACGAUCCGUAGCUGGUCUGAGAGGAUGAUCAGCCACACUGGAACGGAGACACGGUCCAGACUCCUACGGGAGGCAGCAGUGGGGAAUAUUGGACAAGGGGCGCAAGCCUGAUCCAGCCAUACCGCGUGGGUGAAGAAGGCCUUCGGGUUGUAAAGCCCUUUUGUUGGGAAAGAAAAGCAGCAGGUUAAUACCCCGCUGUUCUGACGGUACCCAAAGAAUAAGCACCGGCUAACUUCGUG